RNAcentral lists this ribosomal RNA (256 nucleotides) under uncultured bacterium. RNAcentral's name for it is "partial 16S ribosomal RNA". It matches the Rfam family "Bacterial small subunit ribosomal RNA", at positions 524 to 777 of the family's 1533-position model. The record is from RNAcentral.
UACGUGAGGGGCAAGCGUUGUCCGGAUUUAUUGGGCGUAAAGAGCGUGUAGGCGGCCAAACAGGUCAGCUGUGAAAACUCGAGGCUCAACCUCGAGACGUCGGUUGAAACCGUUUGGCUAGAGUCCGGAAGAGGAGAGUGGAAUUCCCGGUGUAGCGGGUGAAAUGCGCAGAUAUCGGGAAGAACACCCGUGGCGAAGGCGGCUCUCGUGGAACGCAACUGACGCUGAGACGCGAAAGCGUGGGGAGCAAACAGGG